UUUUUUUUCUACAUUCCACUUCUUUUCUACAUUCAGAAACACAAUUUCAGCCCACUUCACAGUUGCGCCGCCAUCACUCUGUCGGAGCAAUUUUGAUGGGAUUUUCACCAAACUAUGCGUUCCUCAUGUUCGGCCAGUUUGUCGCCGGCAUAUGAAUCGGUUUUGCUUUCCUCAUUGCACCCUUUUACACCUCGGAAAUCUCUCCUACUUCUUCCCGUGGCUUCCUCUGUUCCUUGCCUGAGGUCUUUUUGAACGGAGGAAUAUUGCUGGGAUACAUCUCAAACUAUGCAUUUUCAAAGCUUUCACUUCGAAUGGGUUGGCAGUUGAUGCUAGGAGUAGGAGUGAUUCCUUCAAUGUUCCUAGCCGUGGCGGUUUUAGCAAUUCUCUUUUGAAGUGGCUUGAUUCUCUUUUUCAUUUUUUUGCAUUUGUUAUUUUAAAUUGGGUUUUUGCUAAUAAUCUUAAUGAGUGGCCACUGUAUUCAUUUUACAACUUGGAGUGCUGAAUUUAAUCAAUCAUUUUGAUUAGCAUGAGAUUGCAGGGAUGAGGCAAUGUUGUUUCUGGUUUCAGAAUUUUGCAAUCCAAUUGAUCCAAGCUUCAGAAUUACAAUUCUAUUUGAAGUCUCAGUUUUGCCAUUCUCACUUGUUGGAUUUUUUAGCUGAAACUUUGUUUUUUUUCCUGAAGAAGUUAUGCUUCUUGUGGUUUACAGUUUCCCUUGUUUGUUCCACAUUUCCAAGAUCUUGUUCAGUGAAGUUGGAACAAGUAACAAAACUAUAUUCGUUGUUAUCUGUCCCAUGAAAUUUUACAAACUCUUGUAUACAUUUCAACAAAAGUGAAUUUGGGUUUUGUAUAAGUGCAAGAAACAAUUCCUUGUCUAAGCUUAUAAGUUGAAGUGCUUCCAUAAGUUCCUGCGAAUGAAGAAAUUGCAUGCUUCUGGUUUGACCGAGUAUGAACUCCUCUAUCAUUGCCAUGCUUCAUAGAACAAGACUCUUUAAAGUGACAAAACUCUUCAAUUAUGUUAUCCAGAUCAAGAUCAUCUUUUGAUUACCGCCGAGAGUGUUGAUUAUGCAAGUACUUAGAUUUCAUGGUUGCAUCCAAAUUCAGAUUAUUAAUGUCCAACAGAGUCAUAUAUAUAUAUAUAUAUGACUCUGUUGGAUAACAAAAUGAAAAAGAAGAAGAGAAGUAUGUUUGGAAAAUCAUUUUCAUAUGACUCUGUUGUUUGUUGUGUCAUUUAUUAUGCAUAAAGGGAAAGUAUCCAAUGCAAAAAAUACAAAGGAAGCUUAUUUCAUUAUAUGCUUCAAUCAACUACCUAAUAUGGAUGUGGAUGCGGUAAUUUCCUAUUCAAAUUAUCCGUCUAUGGUUCUACUAGUACUAAGGUUUGAUUUGAUUAUGUUAUGUUAUAGGUCAGUUUUAUUGGUUCGACAGAGACUGGCCGGAAGAUUUAAAGAGUAAAGAUGCUUCCCAAUCCAUUUAUAUGUUUAUCUUUAAGCUAGUAAGGCAUAGUUUGAGAAAAUUCUGUCCUAUAUUGAGCUUGGAAAGAAAGAAGGAGCUACCCUUUUAACUGGGAAAAAGAUUUGGAAACAAGGGCUACUACAUUGAGCCUACAAUUUUCUCUAACGUUAAGGAGGACAUGCUAAUAUC
Arachis stenosperma is the source of this 1638-nucleotide long non-coding RNA. RefSeq lists it as uncharacterized. The transcript has 6 exons. The record is from RefSeq and is a predicted model, not a curated record. Lineage: Eukaryota; Viridiplantae; Streptophyta; Magnoliopsida; Fabales; Fabaceae.